UACGUAGGGUGCGAGCGUUAAUCGGAAUUACUGGGCGUAAAGCGUGCGCAGGCGGUUGUGCAAGACAGAUGUGAAAUCCCCGGGCUUAACCUGGGAACUGCAUUUGUGACUGCAUAGCUAGAGUGUGUCAGAGGGGGGUAGAAUUCCACGUGUAGCAGUGAAAUGCGUAGAUAUGUGGAGGAAUACCGAUGGCGAAGGCAGCCCCCUGGGAUAACACUGACGCUCAUGCACGAAAGCGUGGGGAGCAAACAGG
RNAcentral lists this ribosomal RNA (253 nucleotides) under uncultured bacterium. Its description in RNAcentral is "partial 16S ribosomal RNA". It matches the Rfam family "Bacterial small subunit ribosomal RNA", at positions 524 to 776 of the family's 1533-position model. The record is from RNAcentral.